Molecule: long non-coding RNA, 868 nt
Organism: Morone saxatilis (striped sea-bass)
Lineage: Eukaryota; Metazoa; Chordata; Actinopteri; Moronidae
Exons: 2
Source: RefSeq, a predicted model, not a curated record
UGGUGGAGCCUCGGAGGUGCGGUCCUCCCUCGCAGACCACUCCCACAGCGCGUCACAGACACCCAGAGCCCCCGCCGCCAGAUCCCGUUAUGCGGUCCAUUCACUGCGGGUCCAGCUCCGAGGGGCCACGAGUACAGCAGCAGACUCUGGGGGGCCACGGAGGGCCAGAUCACCAGACUGUUGGCCUCGUAGAGCGGGUUGGUCAGACGCUCCAGUUCUUGGGGCCGAUUCACCCACGACCACAGGGAUACAGUCUUCUCAGGCAGAGAGAGUCUAGUUCUUUGGAAAGAAUAGAGGUUGCCUAUAGCUUAAGAAUGUGAAGGAAAGUCAAAUUGUUUGCACAAUGCUAAAUGCACCAAUGUUAAACAAAAUCAUUAAGCAGAUGGCUAACAUAAGCUGGUAGGCCAACCUCCACAAACUUACCUCUCAGAUGUACUGUUGCCCAAGAAGGUGCCGAACUGAGAAGCAUAAGCAUGUUCGAAGAGCAGCACCAGGAAGCUCUCGCUGAAUUCAAAGGAGCACGGAAAUUGGCGAAGGAUCUGCCACACACAGUCCAAGAAGAGUAGGAAGACAGGAGACUCUUGGCGAGGCUUGCUGUUGGAGUAGGCCGACUGGGCGCAGCGUUGCCGGAACGGGUGACCCGCCUGGGAUAGAAGAUCACAGAUGUGAGAGGGGUCGUGAGGAGAAAUGCAAAGAAUACAUCCAUUAUGACACUAAAAUGCUUGCUGGACAGAAUUAGUAUUCCUUGAUGGAAAAGUUUAUGAACUUCAGGUUAUGUGAGGUCAUAUAUGUCUCUUUAACGUAAUUUGUGCUUUAAAUUUAAAUACCAAACUAUAAUUAAAAACAAAAUGUGGAGCUUUUAAAACAA